Pieris napi is the source of this 585-nucleotide long non-coding RNA. RefSeq lists it as uncharacterized. NCBI's taxonomy places the organism in Eukaryota, Metazoa, Arthropoda, Insecta, Lepidoptera, Pieridae. The record is from RefSeq and is a predicted model, not a curated record. The transcript has 3 exons.
AGGUAAUAAUAUCCGCUAAGAGUCGGUUUUUUGAUCCGUAGUUAACUCAACUAUUGGUUAAAAAUCCUUACUAAUAGUUAAAUAUCAGCAAAAUGCGUUUUUUGAUCCGUGGUAACAGCAUCCAAUGGUAAAAUAUCUAACCAUUUGUCAAAAAAGUUAACUACUCAGUAUCGGAGGGUUAAAAAGAUGGCCGCUGGUAAUUUAUAUAGUAACAGCUGUUUGUCACAGAAAUCAAACUAUGAUAAAUACGUUUAUUACUAUCUAAUGAUGAAUUUAAACAUAUUGAGAUACUUUAAUUAAUGAGACGAUGAAGAAGACGAUAAUAUUAUAUGAGAAUGUGUUAAUGAGUGACCAAAAAUAUUAAGGCAAUGUCAUCCGCCAUUAGAAACCUGGGAUGAUGUAGAUUUUUGUCACUGUUACUUCCUAUCGAAGGGAACAGUGCUCUGGAUUGUUACUGAAAUUGGGAAUGAUCUUAAACUGCCAAUGAACAAGAGUAUAUAUAGACAGCAGCUCAUACCAACCUAUUUUGCUUCAUUACUAGCUACAGAACCGCAGCAAAAUAUAAUUAAGUAUAUUACUAAUUCA